Molecule: unclassified non-coding RNA, 317 nt
Filed under: uncultured fungus
Lineage: Eukaryota; Fungi
Description: partial contains small subunit ribosomal RNA, internal transcribed spacer 1, and 5.8S ribosomal RNA
Rfam family: Eukaryotic small subunit ribosomal RNA (bases 1-73)
Source: RNAcentral
UCAAACUUGGUCAUUUAGAGGAAGUAAAAGUCGUAACAAGGUUUCCGUAGGUGAACCUGCGGAAGGAUCAUUAUUGAAUAAACUUGAUGUGGUUGUAGCUGGCUCUCUUGGGAGUAUGUGCAUACCCGUCAUCUUUAUAUUUCCACCUGUGCACCUUUUGUAGACCCAGAAGACUUGAGCAAUCUUGUCGUUUGGGCCUAUGUUUAUCAUAUACCCCAUAGUAUGUAUUAGAAUGUAUCAGUGGGCUUCAUGCAUAUAAACACUAUACAACUUUCAGCAACGGAUCUCUUGGCUCUCGCAUCAAUGAAGAACGCAGC